UGCCAGACUCCUACGGGAGGCAGCAGUGGGGAAUAUUGCACAAUGGGGGGAACCCUGAUGCAGCGACGCCGCGUGGGUGAAGGAGUACUUCGGUACGUAAAGCCCUAUCAGCAGGAAAGAAAAUGACGGUACCUGACUAAGAAGCCCCGGCUAACUACGUGCCAGCAGCCGCGGUAAUACGGAGGAUGCGAGCGUUAUCCGGAUUUAUUGGGUUUAAAGGGUGCGUAGGCGGGCUUUUAAGUCAGCGGUAAAAAUUCGGGGCUCAACCCCGUCCGGCCGUUGAAACUGGGGGCCUUGAGUGGGCGAGAAGAAGGCGGAAUGCGUGGUGUAGCGGUGAAAUGCAUAGAUAUCACGCAGAACCCCGAUUGCGAAGGCAGCAUACCGGUGCACAACUGACGCUCAGGCACGAAAGCGUGGGUAUCGAACAGGAUUAGAUACCCCCGUACUA
This 448-nucleotide ribosomal RNA is filed under the name uncultured bacterium. RNAcentral's name for it is "partial 16S ribosomal RNA". It matches the Rfam family "Bacterial small subunit ribosomal RNA", at positions 329 to 797 of the family's 1533-position model. The record is from RNAcentral.